GACGAACGCUGGCGGCGUGCUUAACACAUGCAAGUCGAACGGAAAGGCCCUGCUUGUGUGGGGUGCUCGAGGGGCGAACGGGUGAGUAACACGUGAGUAACCUGCCCUGUACUUUGGGAUAACUUCAGAAAACUGGGGCUACUACCUGAUAGGAGCUGCUGCAGCAUGGGGGGGGUUGGAAAGUUUCGGAGGAUGUGGAUGGACGCGCGGCUUAUCAGCUUGUUGGGUGGGUAGUGGCUUAGCAAGGCUUCGACGGGUGGUCGGCCCGAGAGGGGAACCGGCGACCAUAGGACUGAGAUACGGCGCAGACUCCUACAGGAGGCAGCAGUGGGGAAUAUUGCCCAGUGGGCGGAAGCCUGAUGCAGAAGCGCCCCGUGCGGGAUGACGGCCUUCGGGUUGGAAACCGCUUUAGGCUGUGACGAAGCGUGAGUGACGGUAAUGGGUAAAGAAGCACCGGCUAACUACGUG
Molecule: ribosomal RNA, 468 nt
Filed under: uncultured bacterium
Lineage: Bacteria
Description: partial 16S ribosomal RNA
Rfam family: Bacterial small subunit ribosomal RNA
Source: RNAcentral